AUGGCGUUCUCCUUCUCCUCGCCGGCGCAGCAGAACCCUUUCCAGACGCCAACGCAGCAGAAUCCGUUCCAAACCCCAGCGCCGCAGAACCCGUUUCAGACUCCGUCGCCGGCGCAGACUCAGGCGCCGGCGCAGUCGCCUUCGCCGUUCCAGUUUAACUUCCAGCAACCCCAGCAGCAGCAGCAACUGGCCGCACCGACGGCGCAGCCUCAGCAGCAGCAGCAGCAGCUGAUGCUGUACACAAAGGAGGGGAAGCCCGCAGGGUACAACACGAAGUGGGAUGAGCUCCACGCCGACUCGCAGAAGGCGCUGCUUCAGAUCGAGGAUAAAAUACGGGAGUACAAGGACGAGAGUGAAAGGUUGGAUCAGUGCAGUCGCCUUCAUGACUCCUCAAUCUCGAAUGUCAAUUUUGAGCUCGAUGCAAGUCACAUUGCUCAGGAACUCGCAGGGACUGCAACCAUAAUUGAGAGAGAGAAGGCAUCUGUUCAGGAGUUGAUGACUGUUGUCAAUGAAAUGAUGUGGAACACAGAAUUUGCUAUUCGCUCAUAUAUGAUGUUGAGACCAAGGUUCCUCAAAUCAGCCACAGGUUCUUCAAAUCCUUCUGGACCUGCUGGAGCUCUGCCCAAUCAGCCUGGACCAACCAAUGAUUUCUAUAGUGGCGUCCCAAAGAGGCCUUCCCUUUUUAUGCUGCAAACUGUCAACAAGUUUGAGAAGUAUCUUGACGAAUGCUGCAAGUGGAUUACUGAACUAGAGCAGCUGGUUCAAAUCGAGAGCAAUAAAAGAUCAUCAUCUUCUGUGGAAUCUCUACCAAAAGUUAUGUCGAAUGUGCAUGACUAUUUCAUCUAUGUCGCUUCAAAGGUGGAAAAUCUUCAUCAAUAUGUUGUGUCGAUGAAAACUGAAUAUCUACACGGUCAGCGCCGUCUGGGCAAUGCAAAUGAUCCAUUUCUAGAGGCAAAUAGAAGAGAAGCAGCCAAAGAAGAAGCAGCUGCCAAAAGGGUCCAUCCGACAUUGCAUUUGCCUGCUCCUGUACAGCCCACAACACAAAUUGCUGCACCAGCAACAAGCCAACCACAGCAAUCUUUGCUCCCUUCUGGAGGAACUUCCUCGAGUGCCUUCACAGCUUUUAGCAUGCCGGCCUCUGCUCCAUCCACUUCAAGUCUCUUUUCAACACCAACAACUUCAAGUCUCACAACUAACCUUUUCGGUACAACUGGAUCAGCCUCGCUGUCCACACCAUUUGGGACAUCCUCCACUCCUACUCUUGGAUCAACACCAACUCCGUCUGGAUUUGGGGGUAUCACCCCAUCUUUUCCUUCAACGCCUGCUUUAACUGGAACUUCACUAUUCUCUACGCCAUUUGGAGGUGGGGCUACAGCUUCAGGGUCCAGCUUUGGUGGCACAUCUAAAGGGAGGUCAAAGGCGCGAGGCCGGCGCUAG
RNAcentral lists this ribosomal RNA (1437 nucleotides) under Triticum aestivum (bread wheat). Its description in RNAcentral is "partial small subunit ribosomal RNA". Lineage: Eukaryota; Viridiplantae; Streptophyta; Magnoliopsida; Poales; Poaceae. The record is from RNAcentral.